UACGUAGGGUGCGAGCGUUAAUCGGAAUUACUGGGCGUAAAGCGUGCGCAGGCGGUUAUGUAAGACAGUUGUGAAAUCCCCGGGCUCAACCUGGGAAUUGCAUCUGUGACUGCAUAGCUAGAGUACGGUAGAGGGGGAUGGAAUUCCGCGUGUAGCAGUGAAAUGCGUAGAUAUGCGGAGGAACACCGAUGGCGAAGGCAAUCCCCUGGACCUGUACUGACGCUCAUGCACGAAAGCGUGGGGAGCCAAACAGG
This 254-nucleotide ribosomal RNA is filed under the name uncultured bacterium. RNAcentral describes it as "partial 16S ribosomal RNA". It matches the Rfam family "Bacterial small subunit ribosomal RNA", at positions 524 to 776 of the family's 1533-position model. The record is from RNAcentral.